UACGUAGGGGGCAAGCGUUGUCCGGAUUUAUUGGGCGUAAAGCGCGUGUAGGCGGCUCGAUAAGUCUGCUGUGAAAGUCCAAGGCUCAACCUUGGGAUGCCGGUGGAUACUGUCGAGCUCGAGUCCGGAAGAGGCGAGUGGAAUUCCUGGUGUAGCGGUGAAAUGCGCAGAUAUCAGGAGGAACACCAAUGGCGAAGGCAGCUCGCUGGGACGUGACUGACGCUGAGACGCGAAAGCGUGGGGAGCAAACAGG
This 253-nucleotide ribosomal RNA is filed under the name uncultured bacterium. Its description in RNAcentral is "partial 16S ribosomal RNA". It matches the Rfam family "Bacterial small subunit ribosomal RNA", at positions 524 to 776 of the family's 1533-position model. The record is from RNAcentral.